Andrographis paniculata is the source of this 496-nucleotide long non-coding RNA. RefSeq lists it as uncharacterized. The transcript is spliced from 2 exons. Lineage: Eukaryota; Viridiplantae; Streptophyta; Magnoliopsida; Lamiales; Acanthaceae. The record is from RefSeq and is a predicted model, not a curated record.
UCCAAAAAUCUUCAUACCUAAAUUGCAAAAAACCUCACAAUAUUGCAAUAAAUAUUUAUUAUUCCUUACUCUUACAUCCUCGUCAACAAUAUAAUUCAACUUAUGUAGUCUUUUAAAUUCUAAACAUUUGAUUUUGUUUUAUGUAAUUUAAAUUAUAUAUAUAUAGAUGUGUAUGUAUGUGUGUGUUUUGAAGAAAAUGGAGGAUACCAAAGAUGGCAUCGAGAUCGAUUAAUCGAAAGCAGAUCGAGCGAGGGAAUUCCAAACGCCCUCGCCGUGAUUAGCAAUGUAGUUGAUGAGAAUGAGAUCUUCUUCCAUGGUCCAAGGGCCUUUCCUAACCUCGACAUCUUGACUAUUACACGGCUUUUUGUCCAUAUCGAUGAUAUAAUUGUAAUAAGGGAUUUUGCGACGAUGAAAAUAACUUGGAGGAUGUAAUAAUCGAUUGAUCGAUCGAUGUGUAUUCGAGAAGAAAUAAUGGUGAAGGAGCUUAAUUUAUAGA